This 581-nucleotide ribosomal RNA is filed under the name uncultured bacterium. RNAcentral's name for it is "bacterial SSU rRNA". It matches the Rfam family "Bacterial small subunit ribosomal RNA", at positions 331 to 929 of the family's 1533-position model. The record is from RNAcentral.
CCAGACUCCUACGGGAGGCAGCAGUGGGGAAUAUUGGACAAUGGACCGAGAGUCUGAUCCAGCAAUUCUGUGUGCACGAUGAAGUUUUUCGGAAUGUAAAGUGCUUUCAGUUGGGAAGAAAAAAAUGACGGUACCAACAGAAGAAGUGACGGCUAAAUACGUGCCAGCAGCCGCGGUAAUACGUAUGUCACGAGCGUUAUCCGGAUUUAUUGGGCGUAAAGCGCGUCUAGGUGGUUAUGUAAGUCUGAUGUGAAAAUGCAGAGCUCAACUCUGUAUUGCGUUGGAAACUGUAUAACUAGAGUACUGGAGAGGUAAGCGGAACUACAAGUGUAGAGGUGAAAUUCGUAGAUAUUUGUAGGAAUGCCGAUGGGGAAGCCAGCUUACUGGACAGAUACUGACGCUAAAACGCGAAAGCGUGGGUAGCAAACAGGAUUAGAUACCCUGGUAGUCCACGCUGUAAACGAUGAUUACUAGGUGUUGGGGGUCGAACCUCAGCGCCCAAGCAAACGCGAUAAGUAAUCCGCCUGGGGAGUACGUACGCAAGUAUGAAACUCAAAGGAAUUGACGGGGGCCCGCACAAG